Aplysia californica (California sea hare) is the source of this 2039-nucleotide long non-coding RNA. RefSeq lists it as uncharacterized. Lineage: Eukaryota; Metazoa; Mollusca; Gastropoda; Aplysiida; Aplysiidae. The transcript is spliced from 2 exons. The record is from RefSeq and is a predicted model, not a curated record.
UCUUUAUACUAUCGAAUGAACUAAGGCACAAUAUGAGAUCAGUGAUUAUAAAACAUUAUUAAAAUUGAUUAACUUUUUGAACUUAAGUUAAAAAACCUCUUGGCGAUGUAUUUCCCUGUCUCGUACAUUUCAAACAAUGAAGAGAGGGAGCCUAAAGCUCAAGUCGAAAAUGCGUGACGUCACGACUCUGCGCAAUGUCACAGUGGAAUGGUUCAGCUAGGUUUUCGCGGAUUUGGUUGAUAAAAGGGUAAGACUACACUAGCCAAGGAAUCUGUGGCGGUUUUGACAAGGCAAAGAUCUAGAGACAGGCGUCUGCCAUGAGAUCGCGUGCCGUGACAACGUACAGAAGGUUCUACUAUUCCAUGACAAGCAGUUCGGGGCUCUCUAUUGUGUCAGCAGACGACCAAUCGAUUGGCGGGAACAGAAGGAUGCUUGGAGCGUCUUAGUGCACGCGAGGGCUUGCUUUCCAUCAAACAAAAGACCAUGUGUGUACGCCCGUACUUGAGGCCGCGUCGUUGUUACGUAUCAAUCAUUGACCGAUUCAACAAGCGAAAUAAAGCAUACAUUAACAGAUGUGUUACAUGUAAACUAUUUUGCCCCCAAACGCUUCAAAAUUGAUGUGAGAGCAUGAGAUCGUGAUGAGAACAGAAACACCAGGAAGUAACGCACAAUGCACGUCGUUAUACUCUACUCUACGAGAGACUACCCCAAGUACAUUGUCAUCGCUAGGAACACGUUCAAUAUUACCCAUUUCUCGUUUCAACCUGCCCGUUACAAUCAUUACAACCCCAUUAGUCGCAAAAGAGUAGAUCAUUUAUAAAGUUUAUUUCUUGUAAGUCGAAAAGCCGUGAGACAAAAGCAAACUUGCACGGCUUUUUAUGUCAUCGAUUAGAUGCUGUCAGACAAUCAGUGUUCCAAAAAUGUCAUAAAGUGGGAGCUUUUAGCAUACAGUUAAGCAAACAAAGUACAGUGGCGAAUGAUUUAAAUCAUCCAUGUUUUUCAAGGCUCAACGUGACGUCACCACGAGACGAGUCACAAGUUUCAGUUUUAAAGGGAAUAUUUAGCGUUCUGGACACGGCAAGAUCUGGAGAUGCAGGCAUUUGCCAUGUCAUUGAGAUCGCGUGUCUUGACAAUGUACAGAAGGUUCUACUAUUCCAUGACAAGCAGAUCGGGGCUCUCUAUUGUGUCAGCAGACGACCAAUCGAUUUUUUUAGGGGGGGGGGGGGAGAAGGAUGCUUGGGGCGUUUUAGUGCAGUGUACUUGAAUAAGCAUAGAUGUGUGUUGCUCUUUAGAAUAUGUAUCUACAUAACUCCAAAGGUCUUGUAAUUAAAUUCCUGCAUGUGGUUGAAUGAUUCAUCUGAUGUGAUAUGCACAUUUUGUCAGCUUUGUUUCUCUUUUCAUAUUGAAAUUUAAUGAGAGUAAUAUAUAAUUUGAAUCUUUAUGUAUACCUGCAUGUGUUUGUACGGUCCUGUGCAGCCAAGAAAACUUUCCUUCUGGGAUAAUACAGUACAUGUAUUAUCUUAUCUUUUCUUAUCUUACUAGAAGGCUUGCUUUUUUAUCAACAGCACAAUUACAGUUAGCAUGUGCAUGGGUGGUUGGUGAGCGCUUUUGUGUGGUCUAUCCCUUCUUUCCUGUCAAGCAUUUAUCGUCACCAUCUCUCCUCCUUCUUUUCUUUGUGUGUGACUUUCCAGUAACACCUCUAAUAAAAACACCUAUAUGGUUUAUUUGUGUUACGAAAAGCUGUAAAACUGUUACAAAAAUAUGCAUAUUAAUAUUAUCAUUAAUUACAGCUACGUACUUUUAAUCAACAACUUCAAAACAAGCCAAAUAAAGCAUACAUUAACAAAUGAAUUAGGUACAAACUAUUUUGUCCCCAUAAAUUAUUGUUUCGCCUGUGAGCCAGGACUAUAUAUUUAUAUCGAGAGAUGGUGACAUAUACAUGUAUGUUUUAUUUUAAAAAAUAUUUUGUUAAUACAAAUCGUCGCCAUCAUUCAUCGUCAUCGUAUGUCAAAAUACAAGCUUUUCACUGGAAGCAAAAA